GACGAACGCUGGCGGCGUGCUUAACACAUGCAAGUCGAACGGAAAGGCCCUGCUUUUGUGGGGUGCUCGAGUGGCGAACGGGUGAGUAACACGUGAGUAACCUGCCCUUGACUUUGGGAUAACUUCAGGAAACUGGGGCUAAUACCGGAUAGGAGCUCCUGCUGCAUGGUGGGGGUUGGAAAGUUUCGGCGGUUGGGGAUGGACUCGCGGCUUAUCAGCUUGUUGGUGGGGUAGUGGCUUACCAAGGGUUUGACGGGUAGCCGGCCUGAGAGGGUGACCGGCCACAUUGGGACUGAGAUACGGCCCAGACUCCUACGGGAGGCAGCAGUCGGGAAUAUUGCACAAUGGGCGGAAGCCUGAUGCAGCAACGCCGCGUGCGGGAUGACGGCCUUCGGGUUGUAAACCGCUUUCGCCUGUGACGAAGCGUGAGUGACGGUAAUGGGUAAAGAAGCACCGGCUAACUACGUG
Molecule: ribosomal RNA, 468 nt
Filed under: uncultured bacterium
Lineage: Bacteria
Description: partial 16S ribosomal RNA
Rfam family: Bacterial small subunit ribosomal RNA
Source: RNAcentral